Molecule: ribosomal RNA, 774 nt
Filed under: Weissella cibaria
Lineage: Bacteria; Bacillati; Bacillota; Bacilli; Lactobacillales; Lactobacillaceae
Description: bacterial SSU rRNA
Rfam family: Bacterial small subunit ribosomal RNA
Source: RNAcentral
UGCAGUCGAACGCUUUGUGGUUCAACUGAUUUGAAGAGCUUGCUCAGAUAUGACGAUGGACAUUGCAAAGAGUGGCGAACGGGUGAGUAACACGUGGGAAACCUACCUCUUAGCAGGGGAUAACAUUUGGAAACAGAUGCUAAUACCGUAUAACAAUAGCAACCGCAUGGUUGCUACUUAAAAGAUGGUUCUGCUAUCACUAAGAGAUGGUCCCGCGGUGCAUUAGUUAGUUGGUGAGGUAAUGGCUCACCAAGACGAUGAUGCAUAGCCGAGUUGAGAGACUGAUCGGCCACAAUGGGACUGAGACACGGCCCAUACUCCUACGGGAGGCAGCAGUAGGGAAUCUUCCACAAUGGGCGAAAGCCUGAUGGAGCAACGCCGCGUGUGUGAUGAAGGGUUUCGGCUCGUAAAACACUGUUGUAAGAGAAGAAUGACAUUGAGAGUAACUGUUCAAUGUGUGACGGUAUCUUACCAGAAAGGAACGGCUAAAUACGUGCCAGCAGCCGCGGUAAUACGUAUGUUCCAAGCGUUAUCCGGAUUUAUUGGGCGUAAAGCGAGCGCAGACGGUUAUUUAAGUCUGAAGUGAAAGCCCUCAGCUCAACUGAGGAAUUGCUUUGGAAACUGGAUGACUUGAGUGCAGUAGAGGAAAGUGGAACUCCAUGUGUAGCGGUGAAAUGCGUAGAUAUAUGGAAGAACACCAGUGGCGAAGCGGCUUUCUGGACUGUAACUGACGUUGAGGCUCGAAAGUGUGGGUAGCAACAGGAUUAGAUACCC